GAUGAACGCUAGCGACAGGCUUAACACAUGCAAGUCGCGGGGCAGCAUGGGGGUUGCUUGCAAUCCCCGAUGGCGACCGGCGCACGGGUGAGUAACGCGUAUCCAACCUGCCCUUCACCACGGGAUAACCCGGCGAAAGUCGGACUAAUACCGUAUGUUGUCCAUUGACGGCAUCCGAUUUGGACGAAAGGUUUGGCGGUGAGGGGUGGGGAUGCGUCCGAAUAGCUAGACGGCCGGGUAACGGCCCAACGUGGCUACGAUCGGUCGGGGUUCUGAGAGGAAGGUCCCCCAGACUGGAUCUGCGGCCCGGUCCAGACUGAUACGGGACGCAGCAGUGGGGAAUAUUGGUCAAUGGGCGUAAGCCUGAACCAGCCAAGUAGCGUGCAGGAUGACGGCGCUAUGGGUUGUAAGCUGCUUUUAUGCGGGGAUAAAGUGGCCAACGUGUGAGCUUUUGACGGUACCGAAUGAAUAAGGACCGGCUAAUUCCGUG
Molecule: ribosomal RNA, 490 nt
Filed under: uncultured bacterium
Lineage: Bacteria
Description: partial 16S ribosomal RNA
Rfam family: Bacterial small subunit ribosomal RNA
Source: RNAcentral